Molecule: RNA transcript, 1168 nt
Organism: Lagenorhynchus albirostris (white-beaked dolphin)
Lineage: Eukaryota; Metazoa; Chordata; Mammalia; Artiodactyla; Delphinidae
Gene: BIRC5
Gene name: baculoviral IAP repeat containing 5
Exons: 5
Source: RefSeq, a predicted model, not a curated record
GACUACAACUCCCAGCGUACCCCGCGCCGCCCAGCUUCCCAUUUCCCAGAAGGCCGCGGGCGGCGCGUUCCCGACAUGCCCCGCGGCGGCCGACAACCGCUGGAUUUGAAUCGCGUCACCGCUCGGCGGCGGCGGGAUGAGUACCCCGUCGUUGCCCCCGGCCUGGCAGCUCUACCUCAAGGACCAUCGUGUCUCCACAUUUAAGAACUGGCCCUUCUUGGAGGGCUGCGCCUGCACCCCGGAGCGAAUGGCCGCGGCCGGCUUCAUCCACUGUCCAACUGAGAACGAGCCCGACUUGGCUCAGUGUUUCUUCUGCUUCAAGGAGUUGGAAGGCUGGGAGCCAGAUGACGACCCUAUAGAAGAACAUAAAAAGCAUUCAUCUGGUUGUGCUUUCCUUUCUGUCAAGAAGCAGUUUGAAGAACUAACCCUCAGCGAAUUUUUAAAACUGGAUAAAGAAAGAGCCAAGAACAAAAUUAGCUCCUGGAUGGCCCCUCUAGGGUACAUCGCUCCUGGAGGUGGGAUGGCGUGCGGACCUCGGCUGUACCGUGGGGUGGAAAUAAGUUGGGAGCUGAACUUUUAAACCAUUUAUUAAGUUAGUUAUGGGAUUGCAGCACACAGCUGUAAGGCAAACGUUUAUCCAGGCAAAGGAAACCAACAAUAAACAGAAAGAAUUUGAAGAAACUGCAAAGAAAGUCCGCUGUGCCAUUGAGCAGCUAGCUGCCUCGGAGUGACGCCAUCCCCACCGUCACUGCCCCACAGGGACACAGACACAUCCUUUCCAAGGCACAGCCCUCAGCAUUACCAGCUUUCCUCUGGGGCCCCUUAACUGUGCCUUAGGAAAGGAGAACAUCAACACUUUGAAAUUAGAAUAUUUACCUGUAUUUUUGGGUUUUUUCUUGAAGGCGGUGCCAGGGGCUAUUUCUGUUGUACAGCUGGUGCUAAGUACAGUGACGGAUUCUCUUUUUUUCUCUUUGGUAGUUUUUGCUUUAUUGAUUCCUGGACUUAGGGUGAGGGGAGAAGUUUGUCCACGUGGGUAGAGCCCUUUUACAGUGACCUGUCUGGGCUUCACACUGACGACUGGCUGUCCAGCUGAGAUGCGAUGUGUGAAUGUGAUCAUUGGUCCAUUGUGACUGGACAAACAGGAUUAAGAAUGCCAUUUUAAAUUUCA